This 1023-nucleotide ribosomal RNA is filed under the name Salmonella enterica. Its description in RNAcentral is "bacterial SSU rRNA". It matches the Rfam family "Bacterial small subunit ribosomal RNA", at positions 110 to 1129 of the family's 1533-position model. Lineage: Bacteria; Pseudomonadati; Pseudomonadota; Gammaproteobacteria; Enterobacterales; Enterobacteriaceae. The record is from RNAcentral.
GUAAUGUCUGGGAAACUGCCUGAUGGAGGGGGAUAACUACUGGAAACGGUGGCUAAUACCGCAUAACGUCGCAAGACCAAAGAGGGGGACCUUCGGGCCUCUUGCCAUCAGAUGUGCCCAGAUGGGAUUAGCUAGUUGGUGAGGUAACGGCUCACCAAGGCGACGAUCCCUAGCUGGUCUGAGAGGAUGACCAGCCACACUGGAACUGAGACACGGUCCAGACUCCUACGGGAGGCAGCAGUGGGGAAUAUUGCACAAUGGGCGCAAGCCUGAUGCAGCCAUGCCGCGUGUAUGAAGAAGGCCUUCGGGUUGUAAAGUACUUUCAGCGGGGAGGAAGGGAGUAAGGUUAAUAACCUUAUUCAUUGACGUUACCCGCAGAAGAAGCACCGGCUAACUCCGUGCCAGCAGCCGCGGUAAUACGGAGGGUGCAAGCGUUAAUCGGAAUUACUGGGCGUAAAGCGCACGCAGGCGGUCUGUCAAGUCGGAUGUGAAAUCCCCGGGCUCAACCUGGGAACUGCAUUCGAAACUGGCAGGCUUGAGUCUUGUAGAGGGGGGUAGAAUUCCAGGUGUAGCGGUGAAAUGCGUAGAGAUCUGGAGGAAUACCGGUGGCGAAGGCGGCCCCCUGGACAAAGACUGACGCUCAGGUGCGAAAGCGUGGGGAGCAAACAGGAUUAGAUACCCUGGUAGUCCACGCCGUAAACGAUGUCUACUUGGAGGUUGUGCCCUUGAGGCGUGGCUUCCGGAGCUAACGCGUUAAGUAGACCGCCUGGGGAGUACGGCCGCAAGGUUAAAACUCAAAUGAAUUGACGGGGGCCCGCACAAGCGGUGGAGCAUGUGGUUUAAUUCGAUGCAACGCGAAGAACCUUACCUGGUCUUGACAUCCACAGAACUUUCCAGAGAUGGAUUGGUGCCUUCGGGAACUGUGAGACAGGUGCUGCAUGGCUGUCGUCAGCUCGUGUUGUGAAAUGUUGGGUUAAGUCCCGCAACGAGCGCAACCCUUAUCCUUUGUUGCCAGCGAUUAGG